Long non-coding RNA from Hippocampus comes (tiger tail seahorse), 421 nucleotides. RefSeq lists it as uncharacterized. NCBI's taxonomy places the organism in Eukaryota, Metazoa, Chordata, Actinopteri, Syngnathiformes, Syngnathidae. The transcript has 3 exons. The record is from RefSeq and is a predicted model, not a curated record.
CUUAUAGCAUGGCACAGCAUCGAUUUGCAAACAAUAAUGCUCGGCUAAUAACUGCAGCCUAUAUAGUUUACCGUUCUUCCAAUCCCGAUGGGUCUCGCCUCCACUCCCUGUCCAGCGAUUCGGGGACAUUUUCCGCAUUCUGAGCAUCCGCCUCGUACAUGUAUGGUCCUCUUCCUCCAACUCCUCAAACACCUGGAUCCCCUCAGAUAUGUUUGAAACGAUGCUUUCCGAAUCAGUUUAUGACUGACUUUGUGCACUUUCCAUAAUGAUCCCCGCUAAUGUUGUCUUCAAGUGACGUCACACUUUCGGGUUUGAUGCUCAUCAGGAUCUCAUUUUGGGUAAGCGAUUACUUCGUCAAAUUUACGAAAUAGAAAUAGUUUUUUCAUGCUUUAUUUUGUGUAUUUUGUUUUGUUGCUUUGGC